GCGGGGGCCAGCACGCGCUGGCACUGCUGUUUGGAUGAAUCUCUCUGCUCCCAGCCCUGCCAGAGUUUCCCGGUGGCGGUUGCAGGGGCUGCGGUAAGGGGUUGCAGCGGGCAUUCUGUCUCUGCCGAGCCAGCAACUGCGAGCAUUGCUAUUCUCUGGCCAGACCCCGUGCUCCUGGGUCAGGAGGAGGGAGGCAGCUGAGGAUGUGCGCAGCACACUUUUUAUAUAUGUGGGGCCAUAAUAUUUAAGUGUCUUGGCUGUAAGCCUGCGACUGGGUCCCCCGACAGCCAAGCCUUGCUCCGCACGCUCUAACAGCUGUCUGUAAAACCCGUUUAUGGAGCCUCCAUAAAUUUCCCAGCUGCUGCAAACACAGGGCUGGGGACAAAGAGUCGAGGGAGGGAGGUGUGGAAGAGCAGCAGCUUCAGCGUCUCCGCUGGCUGGUCCUCUGGGCCCCAGCUUGCCCCCCACCCACCUGGGGCUGCCUUACCCUAAAUUCUUUUAUUGAAGCUGAUCUUAACGUCGACCCCGUGGGGCCUGGCUGGGCGAUCCAGCUCACCACAGAUGCAGGCACUUUCAAGAUUGCAGCAAAAGGGCCUGGAGCUUGAGCUGGAACCCACGCUGCUUGUCUGGGGCUUGAGCCGCCUUCAUCACGCAUGCCAGCUCACCCCUGAGUCACACCUGCUCCCUGAGCCUCUGGCUCGGGGCCUCCCACAGAUGGAUCACCUGCUGUGUACCUGACUCCAAAGAAAGAGACUGAGGACUACAGAACUCAAGACAUUCGUCCAAGGUCAUUUCUUGGGAUUAUACUGGACUGCCACAGCCCAGGAGAACCAUGGGUUCUGCUGGAAUUAUGAGCACAAAGUCAAGAGCGACACUUAGGAUCUCAUCCAAGCGUGUGAGGAACUAAGGUUGAAGAUGCCCUGGAAUUUUCCAUUCAGGAGGUCCAGGAACAUGGCUGGAUGAUUCAUGGGCCCCAGAGGAUCCCCUUUUCUGUAGCAAUCCCAGAUGGGUCUGGGCUUCCUGUCCCUUGCUGCCCCCUACACAGGCUCAUUGGUGCUUGCUGGACAGUUGCUCUGGCGUGGGGUCCAGAGAUGGCUGGCACAGACCUGAAUCUGAGUUGCCCGGUCUGGCAAUUAACACAAGCUGGGAUUGACUGGCUCUCCUCUGAGGCUGGGGGCUUGGCUAUCAUCAGCUAAAGAACCUGGAAUCCCUUCCAAAGGCAGACGGUAAGAUGGCAGGGUUUGCCCCUUCCUCAGCCACAGACCCAGGGGCUCAUGGCUGCUGUUCCUGAAAGCGGGUCCCUGGCCUCCAGCUUCUCUUCCUGCAGGAGUGGCCUCUGGAGAGGGGCUGCUUCAUGAUCAGGCCUAACUCCUUCUCCAGAGCCUCCUACUCCCGGAGACACCACGCAGUCCCGGAAAGCCCCUGCUCUCUGGCAACCUGGGCAGAACCUUUCUCCUUAGUCUUUGCGAGCUCCCCACAUAGCUGCAGGGCAGUGACCCAGAGAGGCCCGAACUUGAGUCCCGCUGGAGGCAACACCUCCCAGGACCUCACCCUAUCCUGAUCUCUGGCCUCCAAGAGCUGGCAGCACCUCGGGGCACCUGCGCUAGUUUCUUAAUGUUGCAGUAACAAAUGGCAGCAGGCUGGGUAUGAUGACUCACACCUGGUAAUCCUGGCAUUUGGGAGGCCAAGGCGGGUGGAUAACCUGAGGUCAGGAGUUCGAGACCAGCCUGGCCAAAUGGUGAAACCUGUCUCUACUAAAAGUACAAAAAUUAGCUGGGCCUGGUGGCACGUGCCUGUAAUCCCAGCUACUCGGGAGGCUGACAUGGGAGGAUGGCUUGAAUCCGGGAGGUGGAUGUUGCUGUGAGCCGAGAUCGUGCCACUGCACUUCAGCCUGGGCGACAGAGUGAGAUUCUGUCUCAAAACAAGCAAGCAAGCAAGCAAACAAACAACCCAAAACAAAUGGCGGCAGACUUAGUGGCUGAAACAAUACAAAUAUAGUCCCUCGCAGUUCUGGAGAAGUCUAAAAGGAGCUUUACAGGGCUAAGAUUAAGGGGAAGCCAGGGCUGUGUUCCUUCCAGAGGCUCCAGGAAGCCUUCCCAGGCCUUUUCCAGCUUUUAGGGGCUGCUGUAUUCCUUGGCUUGGGGCCUCUUCCUCCAUCUUCAAAGCCCGUGUUCCAGCCCUCUGACCUCUUCCCCCAUUGUCCUGUUGUCUUCUCUGACACUCCUGCCUCCCUUUCCCUCAUGACUCCUGUGGUUACAUUGGGCCUGCUCAGCUCAUUUUAAGAUCCUCAGCUGAAUCAUGUCUGCAAAGCCCCUUGUGCACAUGGGUACUGGCAUAUUCCCAGGUUCUGGGGAUUAGGACAUGGACGUCUUUGGUGGGGGCCAUUAUUCCUGCCACAGCCCCCCAUUCCUGGCUUGUUUGCCCGGGGUGAGGCCGCCUCUGUGACAUUGUGACAGAGCCAUGUUUUAGACCCCAGCACAGUCCCAGCCAACUCAGGCUCACCAGCUCGGUUCUAGCUGCUGGGCAGAGGAGAGACCUUUCCCCAGGUGACAGGCACGGGUUCAGAAGCAGACUCCCUUAAGACAGCUCAGUGCGUAAAGCAGCAGAGAGCCAGUGUACGCACAGACACGUGCAUGCACACACUCGCACUAGGGGUGGGGUUAACCUGAGUGGGUGAUUUCCAUCUACCCCUAGAUGCUCACUGUGAAAAGCCUUUAGCCCAUCUGCAUGUCCAAGUGUGUAUAAGUGUGAACGUGUGCACAUGAGUGUGUAUAUGCAAUUAUGAACAUGUGUGCACAUAAGCAAAUGUAAAAGUAAAUGUACAUGCCUGCACAUGAGUGUAUGUGAGGGGUGCUUUUCAGAGAAUGGCCAGGCUGGGUGUGGUGGCUCAUGCCUAUAAUCCCAGCACUUUGGGAGGCCGAGGCCUGGGGGGAUUACUUGAGCCCAGUAGUUUGAGAUCAGUAGUUUGGGCAACAUAGCAAGACCCCUAUCUCUACAAAAAAUACAAAAUU
This 3011-nucleotide long non-coding RNA is filed under the name Homo sapiens (human). RNAcentral describes it as "HSALNT0155423". The record is from RNAcentral. Lineage: Eukaryota; Metazoa; Chordata; Mammalia; Primates; Hominidae.